This 38-nucleotide small RNA is filed under the name Arabidopsis thaliana (thale cress). RNAcentral's name for it is "ATSL124100". Lineage: Eukaryota; Viridiplantae; Streptophyta; Magnoliopsida; Brassicales; Brassicaceae. The record is from RNAcentral.
AGCUUGGUGGGAAGAGGACGAAGAGAGAAGACAGCAGU